RNAcentral lists this transfer RNA (66 nucleotides) under Friesea propria. Its description in RNAcentral is "tRNA-Tyr". Lineage: Eukaryota; Metazoa; Arthropoda; Collembola; Poduromorpha; Neanuridae. The record is from RNAcentral.
AAUGAAAUGGCCGAGUUUAGGUAUUAAACUGUAAAUUUAAUCACAGGAUGGGUCUCCUUUUCGUUA